Gossypium raimondii (Peruvian cotton) is the source of this 145-nucleotide non-coding RNA. The record is from Rfam. Lineage: Eukaryota; Viridiplantae; Streptophyta; Magnoliopsida; Malvales; Malvaceae.
AGUAAAAAAUUUCAUCAAAUUCUAUUGUUAAAAAUUGGCAUUGUUGACAGAAUAACCAAAUAAUUUCGCGUGGCGUGCCAUGUGUACCUCAUUCUAAUAUACAUGGUCCAAUUUUUAACAAUGAAAAUGGAUAAAAAUUUUAACU